AGCGAACGCUGGCGGCAGGCUUAACACAUGCAAGUCGAGCGGGCAUCUUCGGAUGUCAGCGGCAGACGGGUGAGUAACACGUGGGAACGUACCCUUCGGUUCGGAACAACUCUGGGAAACUGGAGCUAAUACCGGAUACGCCCUUAUGGGGAAAGGUUUACUGCCGAAGGAUCGGCCCGCGUCUGAUUAGCUAGUUGGUGGGGUAACGGCCUACCAAGGCGACGAUCAGUAGCUGGUCUGAGAGGAUGAUCAGCCACACUGGGACUGAGACACGGCCCAGACUCCUACGGGAGGCAGCAAGGGGGAAUAUUGGACAAUGGGCGCAAGCCUGAUCCAGCCAUGCCGCGUGAGUGAUGAAGGCCUUAGGGUUGUAAAGCUCUUUUGUCCGGGACGAUAAUGACGGUACCGGAAGAAUAAGCCCCGGCUAACUUCGUG
RNAcentral lists this ribosomal RNA (435 nucleotides) under uncultured bacterium. RNAcentral's name for it is "partial 16S ribosomal RNA". It matches the Rfam family "Bacterial small subunit ribosomal RNA", at positions 29 to 507 of the family's 1533-position model. The record is from RNAcentral.